CCUACGGGUGGCUGCAGUGAGGAAUAUUGGUCAAUGGACGGAAGUCUGAACCAGCCAUGCCGCGUGCAUGAAGACGGCUCUAUGAGUUGUAAACUGCUUUUGUACAAGGGUAAACAUGAAUACGUGUAUUCAGCUGAAAGUACUGUACGAAUAAGGAUCGUCUAACUCCGUGCCAGCAGACGAGGUAAUACGGAGGAUGCAAGCGUUAUCCGGAUUUAUUGGGUUUAAAGGGUGCUUAGGCGGAUUGUUAAGUUAGAGGUGAAAUGUCCGGGCUUAACUCGGGAACAGCAUCUAAUACUGGGGAGCUAGAGAGUAGAUGAGGGAGGCGGAAUGUAUGGUGUAGCGGUGAAAUGCUUAGAGAUCAUACAGAACACCGAUUGCGAAGGCAGCUUACCAAUCUAUAACUGACGUUGAGGCACGAAAGCGUGGGGAGCAAACAGGAUUAGAUACCCGAGUAGUC
Molecule: ribosomal RNA, 460 nt
Filed under: uncultured bacterium
Lineage: Bacteria
Description: partial 16S ribosomal RNA
Rfam family: Bacterial small subunit ribosomal RNA
Source: RNAcentral